ACAUGCUUACAACAUAGAUUUAAUGCACCGGAUCCCAUUAGAAAUCCAUAGUUAAGCGAGUUUAGGCUAGAGUAGUAUUGGGAUGAGUGACCGCUUAGGAAGUCCUAGUAUUUUACAUGCC
This is a non-coding RNA of Picea glauca (white spruce), 121 nucleotides long. Lineage: Eukaryota; Viridiplantae; Streptophyta; Pinopsida; Pinales; Pinaceae. The record is from Rfam.